This 353-nucleotide long non-coding RNA is filed under the name Nicotiana benthamiana. RNAcentral describes it as "long non-coding RNA (NBEN_LNC031499)". The record is from RNAcentral. Lineage: Eukaryota; Viridiplantae; Streptophyta; Magnoliopsida; Solanales; Solanaceae.
GCAGAUUUUAGAAGCUUGACUGGCUAUUAAACUACUUUAAGUUCUUUUCCUUUCUAAAUACUGUACGUAAAUUAAGAAAUAAUUACGACCCUUGUCACUUGGCCUAACAGCCCAACCGAAUGGCCUAGAUUUGAAGCUAUCACACUAUUUAGCCCAUGUUGUACAUAACUUGAAAGAAAGUUUUCAGCCUUUAGCCCAUUAUUAAAGUCUAGAGACACACUUUAUUAUUUUCUUCUUUCUUCAUCCCAUCAUACCAAAUUCUCUCUCACUGGCUCUCCUUCUUUCUUUCUAAACCACAUAGAUCUCAUCUGAGUAAAAAAAAGAGUAUCAUAGUAUGCUUAGUUUGAUAAAAA